GCCCUGGUGGAUCAAGGUCGAUCACCCUCAACUUGUCCCAUUGGAAUUUUCCGCAAAUUUAGAGGAAGGCGGAGGUUCGAAUCCUCCCUAGGGCA
Non-coding RNA from Mycena leptocephala, 95 nucleotides. NCBI's taxonomy places the organism in Eukaryota, Fungi, Basidiomycota, Agaricomycetes, Agaricales, Mycenaceae. The record is from the annotation of a GenBank genome assembly.